Molecule: long non-coding RNA, 685 nt
Filed under: Homo sapiens (human)
Lineage: Eukaryota; Metazoa; Chordata; Mammalia; Primates; Hominidae
Description: HSALNT0176917
Source: RNAcentral
CCUCACCUGUUCUUUCUGAGACAAAUCAUCUGCCAGGUUUCCGCCUCGGGACACCCAAGCUCAGCACAGACAGCCUAGCAGCCUGGGUGACAGGAUCCCAGGGGACAGGCUUCCUAGCCAGUAAUCCUUUCAAAUCUCCAGGGUGCUUGCAACCAUCUUCACCUCUUCCCAGGGGAAAGAUUCUGCCCCGGGCCUGGAAUCAGUGCUGUCGGGCUGGGGACCAGUGUCUCUGGCCUGUAAAACCUUCUCCCAAAACCUUCUGGGAGGCUUUGAGGGUCUCAGAGGAACCUGGCAGGAAGGAUUCUCUCCUUGCCAUGGGGAUGAGGACAAAUUCUCCCUUCAUCCUUGAGAUUGGACUCCCGCCACACAUCCUGGAGGAGCCUACAGAGAAGCCGGCAGGUCUCCCUCACCUGGAUGGUGCCAGCGGGUGGCCUGGACCACCCAGAGGCCCUCUCCUGCACCUGACAGGAAGCCCCUGGGGCAUACGUCUCCCCUGCCACUUCCACUGUGGCCACUGGAAGUGUGGCAGAGAAAAUAGCUAGGACAAAAAGAAGUCAAUGAUUUCAACCAACGGAAUUUCUUUGUCCUUUGUAAAAAUCAACACAUGAUCUGUUACUGAUUGGGAUGUGAAAUAAAACUAAAAAUAACAGCACACUGAGCCUGGCUCAGGGCUCAGCUCACCUUU